This is an RNA transcript of Carica papaya (papaya), 5092 nucleotides long. It is a transcript of the gene named Leucine-rich receptor-like protein kinase family protein, with no coding region annotated. NCBI's taxonomy places the organism in Eukaryota, Viridiplantae, Streptophyta, Magnoliopsida, Brassicales, Caricaceae. The record is from RefSeq and is a predicted model, not a curated record.
CGAUGAAUAUGAGCUAACAUGCACUCUGAAUAUGUAUGCGUGUGCAUAUAUGGACUUUACGAGCAGCAAGCUGGUCACGUAAUCAUUUCUUCCUUCAACAGUGAGUCGAGUCGGCAAAAGAGAGAGAAAUUCCACUGAGUGUAAUAUUCUACCACGUAAUCAUGAGCUUGUAGACUCUGCAACAGUCACCCAGAAAAAAAAACUCCACAGCAAAAAAGAAAAACUCAAGAGUUGAAAGCAUUCCAAAUUGGCAGGCCCAGCAGCAAUGGCGGAGAUUGUGAUCUCUGAAUUUCCACGUCUCGUCUCUAUCAAUUCAAUCCGAUCAAAAGCACUAUCAUGUCUACAUGUGACACAAAUCAGACCACCACCACCACCACCACCCCCCUUAACCCUGCGUUUCUUCCACAACAAAGCUCAGAAACAAGAUAGGGAAGAUGAAGACGAAGCAUGCAUACCUCGCUGUAAAGUGAUUCAUCGCGUUGACUCCAAGAAAAAGAGGAGGAAGAAAAAUUAAACACAACUCAUUCACUGUCAAUGGUUUAAGAUCGUGACACUCACGGUCUCUCUUCUCUCCACUUUCUUUUCUUCUUCCCUUUUUCUCUGUCUCUUCUUUGUUAUCUACCUCUCAUUCUUCCUGUGAAGAUACGUGCGUUCAUCUUCGUCGCUCUCUUUUUCUGUCUGUACCUUAUCUACCCGUUCUUGCUUUUCAUUAAUGGCUGCUUGGGCUUUAUUUAUGUUCCCUAUUCUCUUCGGUUCAAAAUCUCAUUUGUGUGUCAAUUGUUUUUAAUUAAUAUCACCGUUGAGCCCACUCUUUCCCAUAAUCUUUCUGGUUUCUGGUUGUUUUUUUACGGGGAAAUCUCUAGAUUUUUCUUUACCCUUUCUCGCUCUCGUUAUUAUUAUUUAAUCUUUUAAUCGAAGUAGAAAGCUUUUAGUUCCCAGAAAGACAAUGUAAAGUGAAGACCAUCUGUUUGUGUAUUUGCUUCACAUGUCCUGCAACAAGGGACUGUUUUUUUUUUUUUUUUUGAUGAUUGUCUUUUCUGGUCAUAUUCUUCUAUUAUUUUUAGCACCCAUUUGGCCUACUUGAGACUCUCUAUAUAUAUAUGGCAUUCAAUUUUCGAGGUACGUUGCCAUCCCAUUCUUCUGUAUAUUGAAAUUUCCAUUGACAGAAAGGAAGAGAGUUUUAGAUUUUUCUAUAUUUCCUGCUGUGGUAUCUCGUGAAUACUUCAUCUCUUUCCCAUACAUUUUCUUUGGUUACUGUUACUAGCCUUGUUCUUUCUUGAUAGAGAAGGGAACCUAGAAAUGGCAAGUGAUUACCUCCUAAAGGCAUUUGGGUUUUUAGUGAUAGUGCUUUUUUACUUCCAUGCUUCCUUUGUUAGAUCGUUAAAAGAAGAGGGCCUCAUACUUUUGGAAUUCAAAACCUUCCUUAAUGAUUCUGAUAGUAAUCUUGAGAGCUGGAAUCCACUUGAUUUGACUCCAUGUAGUUGGACUGGCAUUGGUUGUAGUGAUGAUCUUGAGGUAACUUCUGUAAAUCUCAAUGGACUUAACUUGUCUGGUAGUUUAUCUCCCAGCAUUUGUAAACUUACCAAAUUAGUUGAGUUGAAUGUGUCUACAAAUUUCAUCUCCGGUCCCAUUCCUCAAAAUUUAUCUGUGUGUCACAGUCUAGAGAUUCUUGAUCUCUGUACCAAUAGGUUUCAUGGGGAAUUACCAUCCCAGCUGUGCAUGAUUAGUACUCUGAAAAAGCUCUACUUAUGUGAGAACUACAUUUUUGGCGAGAUUCCUGAGGAGAUUGGGAGUUUAACUUCCCUCCAAGAGCUUGUAAUUUACAGUAAUAAUCUGACAGAUAGAAUUCCCGCAUCAAUCGGUAAAUUGAAACAACUUCAGGUUGUCAGGGCUGGUCGGAAUUCUUUCUCCGGUCCAAUCCCACCUGAAAUCAGCGAGUGUGAGAGUUUACAGGUUUUGGGUUUGGCGGAGAACAUUCUUGAGGGUUCUCUCCCUAGAGAGCUUCAGAAACUUCAGAAUCUUACUGAUAUGAUCCUCUGGAAAAACCGUUUGUCUGGUGAGAUUCCUCCAGAGAUUGGGAAUAUCAGUAGCCUGGAAUUGCUUGCCUUGCAUGAAAAUUCUUUGACUGGAAAUCUUCCCAAAGAGCUUGGGAAGUUAUUCAAGAUAAAAAGGUUGUACAUAUAUACCAACCAAUUGAAUGGAACAAUUCCACGGGAACUAGGAAAUUGCAGCAAGGCUCUCGAGAUAGAUUUUUCUGAAAAUGAGUUCACUGGAUUCAUUCCUAGCGAGCUGGGACAGAUUCCUAAUCUCCGUUUGCUUCACCUUUUUGAAAACCGUCUCCAGGGGCCUAUUCCUUGGGAGCUUGGACAAUUGACACAACUUCAAAACUUAGACUUGUCCAUAAACAAUUUGAGCGGAACAAUUCCAAAAGAGUUCCAGAAGCUGACUUUCCUAGUAAAUUUGCAACUUUUUGACAAUCAUCUUGAGGGUACAAUUCCUCCCCUUCUUGGUUUUAACAGCAAUCUAACCAUCCUUGACAUGGCUACUAAUAACCUUGUUGGUAGAAUACCAGCACACCUCUGCAGAUAUCAUAAACUGAUGUUUUUGAGCCUGGGAUCAAAUAGACUGUCUGGUAAUAUUCCAUAUGGUUUGAAAAUAUGCAAGUCUCUCGUACAGCUGAUGCUAGGAGGUAAUCAGCUGACAGGGAGCCUCCCCGUGGAACUAUAUAAGCUUCACAAUCUUUCUUCUCUUGAACUUUAUCAGAAUCGAUUCUCAGGACCAAUUCCGCCAGAGCUAGGAAAGCUUGAGAAUUUAGAGAGGUUACUUUUGGCAGAUAACUACUUUGUUGGAUAUAUUCCCCUGGAGAUUGGGAAUCUCUCUCAGCUUGCGGUAUUUAACAUUUCUUCCAACCAGCUCUUGGGAAGUAUUCCUCAACAGUUGGGAAACUGCAUUAAACUCCAGAGGCUUGAUCUUAGUAGGAACCAGUUUACAGGACCUGUUCCCAAAGAACUUGGUAGGCUGGUGAAUCUGGAACUCUUGAAGCUCUCUGAUAACAGAUUGACUGGAGCAAUCCCCAGUACACUGGGGGGACUGGCUCGGCUCACAGAUUUACAAAUGGGAGGGAAUUUCUUAUCUGGAAGCAUCCCUGUUGAGCUGGGUCAACUAAAGGCCCUCCAGAUUGCCCUCAACAUCAGCAAUAAUAAUCUGUCAGGCAACAUUCCUGAUGAUCUGGGGAACCUGCAGAUGCUGGAGUCACUCUACUUGAAUGACAAUCAACUUUGUGGUGAGAUUCCAACAUCAAUUGGAGCACUCAAGAGCCUCUGGGUCUGCAAUCUUUCUAACAAUAACCUGGUAGGAACAGUGCCAGAAACCCCUGUGUUUCAGAGGAUGGAUUCCUCAAAUUUUGCUGGAAAUAAUGGCUUAUGUUGGAUGGAUUCAAACCAUUGCCACCCAGUGGUCACACCAUCUCUUGGUCCUAAACCAAACUGGUUAAAGGUGGGUUCCUCUAGACAGAAACUAGUGAGCAUCAUUUCUGUGAUAGUGGGAUUAAUUUCUUUGCUCUCAGUUGUGGGUAUUUGUUGGGCCAUAAAGCCACAUCGGCCUUCUUUUACUUCUCUUAAAGAUCAAACAAAGGCUGACGUAAUAGAUAACUAUUACUUUCCCAAAGAAGGGUUCACAUAUCAGGAUCUGUUAGAAGCUACUGGAAACUUUUCAGACAGUGCAAUUGUGGGAAGGGGAGCAUGUGGCACUGUCUAUAAAGCUGUUAUGUCUGAUGGUCAGGUGAUAGCCAUUAAAAAGCUGAAGUCCUGUAGUGAAGGUGGUAGUGCUGACAGUAGCUUCCGGGCUGAGAUAUCUACCCUUGGAAAGAUCAGGCAUCGCAGCAUUGUAAAGCUGUAUGGUUUCUGCUAUCACCAGGACUCUAAUCUUCUCUUAUAUGAGUACAUGCCGAAUGGUAGUCUUGGAGAACAACUUCAUGGGAGUGAACAGACAUGUUUGCUGGAUUGGGAUGCUCGAUAUAACAUUGCUCUUGGUGCAGCAGAGGGUUUAUGUUACCUCCAUCAUGAUUGUAGGCCUCAAAUUGUUCACCGUGAUAUAAAAUCAAACAACAUUUUAUUGGAUGAAGUGCUUCAGGCUCAUGUGGGUGAUUUUGGCUUAGCAAAGCUGAUUGAUUUUCCAUACUCAAAAUCCAUGUCAGCUGUUGCAGGUUCAUAUGGCUACAUUGCCCCAGAGUAUGCUUACACAAUGAAGGUGACAGAGAAAUGCGACAUCUAUAGCUUCGGGGUGGUUCUUCUGGAACUAAUAACUGGGAGAUCUCCUGUUCAACCUCUGGAGCAGGGAGGGGACUUGGUCACUUGGGUCAGAAAAUCAAUUCAUGAUAUGGUGCCCACAUCAGAAUUAUUCGACAAACGAUUAGAUACAAGUGCAAAAAGGACAGCUGACGAGAUGUCUUUAGUUCUCAAGAUUGCAUUGUUCUGCACCAGUACUUCGCCAAUUAAUAGGCCGACAAUGAGAGAGGUCAUUGCAAUGAUGAUUGAUGCAAGGGAGUCUGUGAAUGGUUCACCCCCAUCUCCGACAUCAGAAACUCCUCUAAGCAAUGAUGAUUCUUCUAAAGAAAUGGAUCCUGUUGUUGCAUCAUGAUGCAAAAGGACUUUAGCUGGGACUUCUAUAGUUGACUAUAAAUUAUUGGGUUGACAAGCAUUUGCUUCACUAACACAGAUUAACACCAAACCUACACGGAAUUUACAGCCCCAUCAAGCCAUUUAAUGAAAGGCUUGUUUGAGGAAGGAGACCCAGUACUCAACAUCCUCGAAAGCUCACCAAGCUGUCCUUAAAAGCAAGCUCUGGUUUUUAAAUCUAUACAACUUCACGUAUCUUUUUUCUUGCAAAUAUGAAUCACUUUGAUGGAGCCAUAUGAAUCUUUUAUCAUGUUCUAGUUCAGUGUUUGGAUUGAUUCAUAGAAUUUUUUAUCAUAUAUAGAUAAAGAGAAUGGAUUUUUUUUUUUUCAAUUAUAAUAUGAGUUAGAUAUUUUUUAUUACCUUCAUUCUUGAGAGAUGAAUCAAUAUUUUCUUACAAAAUACACAACCAAGUAAAG